Molecule: ribosomal RNA, 587 nt
Filed under: uncultured bacterium
Lineage: Bacteria
Description: partial 16S ribosomal RNA
Rfam family: Bacterial small subunit ribosomal RNA
Source: RNAcentral
UGGGGAAUUUUGGACAAUGGGCGAAAGCCUGAUCCAGCAAUGCCGUGUGUGUGAAGAAGGCCUUCGGGUUGUAAAGCACUUUUGUCCGGAAAGAAAUCCUUGGCUCUAAUACAGUCGGGGGAUGACGGUACCGGAAGAAUAAGCACCGGCUAACUACGUGCCAGCAGCCGCGGUAAUACGUAGGGUGCAAGCGUUAAUCGGAAUUACUGGGCGUAAAGCGUGCGCAGGCGGUUUGCUAAGACCGAUGUGAAAUCCCCGGGCUCAACCUGGGAACUGCAUUGGUGACUGGCAGGCUAGAGUAUGGCAGAGGGGGGUAGAAUUCCACGUGUAGCAGUGAAAUGCGUAGAGAUGUGGAGGAAUACCGAUGGCGAAGGCAGCCCCCUGGGCCAAUACUGACGCUCAUGCACGAAAGCGUGGGGAGCAAAACAGGAUUAGAUACCCUGGUAGUCCACGCCCUAAAACGAUGUCAACUAGUUGUUGGGGAUUCAUUUCCUUAGUAACGUAGCUAACGCGUGAAGUUGACCGCCUGGGGAGUACGGUCGCAAGAUUAAAACUCAAAUGAAUUGACGGGGUCAUAGCUGUUUCCU